RNAcentral lists this ribosomal RNA (2301 nucleotides) under Triticum aestivum (bread wheat). Its description in RNAcentral is "partial small subunit ribosomal RNA". Lineage: Eukaryota; Viridiplantae; Streptophyta; Magnoliopsida; Poales; Poaceae. The record is from RNAcentral.
AUGAACCCUACUAUGCCUCCGCCCCCGCCCCGAAACCCUAACCCCUCCUCCUCCUCCAUGCCGCCUCCGCCGCCCCCCAAACCCUCGCCGCCUGCCCCAUCGGCGCAGCCGGAGGCGGAGGACGAGCCGAGGCCUGAUGCCUCGAUGGCCGAGGCGGACGGGAGUGCUAAACCGAGCCCCUCCUCCUCUAUGCCGCCUCCACCGCCACCAAGACCCUCGCCGCAGCCGGAGGCGGAGGCAGCGUCGGAGUCUGAAUCGUCGGCCGACGGGAGCGCUAACCCCAGCCCUAGCGACUCGUCGGCGGGGGAGGAAAGGAACCCCGGUGGCGACACCGAGAUGGCCGAGGAGGCGCCGCCAGAGCAGCGGCAGCAGCCGCGGCCGCGCGCACCAUACGCCAUCCCCGACUGGAGCGCCGCCCCGGAACACCCCUUCUUCCUCGAGGUGCUCAAGGAAGGCCUCAUCUUCGAGAACCUUGACGUGUCCAAGAAAGGCGCUUACAUGUUUGGCCGAAUUGAUCUGUGCGAUUUCGUGCUGGAGCAUCCCACCAUUUCCCGUUUUCAUGCAGUUCUGCAGUUUAGAAAUGAUGGGCAGGUUUUCCUUUACGAUCUUGGAAGCACACAUGGUUCUUCCAUCAACAAAACUCAGGUCAAGAAGAAGAUGUACACACCGAUUCAUGUUGGAGAUGUAAUUCGAUUUGGGCAAUCAUCACGUUUGUACAUUUUUCAAGGACCAUCUGAGCUAAUGCCUCCAGAAAAGGAUAUGCAGAAACUCCGUGAUGCUAAGAUUCGGCAAAAUAUGCUUGAUCGUGAAGCUUCCCUUUUACGAGCGAAAACUCAAGCAGUUUUAGCAGAUGGGAUCUCAUGGGGUAUGUCGGAGGAUGCACCUGAAGAAGACGGGGAGGAUGAGGCAGAUGAGAUCACGUGGCAAACCUACAAAGGUCAGCUUACGGACAGACAGGAAAAGACACGCAGCAAAUUAAUAAAGCGAAUGGAAAAGGUUGCCAACAUGAAGAAAGAGAUCGAUGCAAUACGAGUUAAGGACAUUUCUCAAGGUGGGUUAACCCAAGGUCAGCAAACACAGAUUGCACGAAAUGAGCAAAGGAUAUCUCAGAUCAUGGAGGAGCUAGAAAAUCUAGAAGAAACAUUAAAUGACAGUAUACAAGAAAGUCUUGGUGCACGUGCUGGAAAACCAAAACGUGGUAGCCAUAAAGCAAGUCUCGAGGAAGAAGAUGACGUUAUUAGUGAUGACGAUGAAUUUUUUGACCGGACAAAGAAGAAAUCAUCUAAUCCUCAAUCUAGUGGGCAACAAUCAGUUGAGACCGCUGAUAGUCUCCUUGAUAAAAAGGAUUUCAUCAACAAUGAUAUUGAAGGUAAAAAGAAGUUGCUUGAAGAAGAGAAGAUUAAGCUGGCUCAGAGAGAUAAUGCAGAUCUUGGGGAUGACCUUGAUGCUUACAUGAGUGGAUUGUCAUCUCAAUUAGUACACGAUAAUAUUGCCAAAAUUCAAAAGGAGCUUUCUGAUCUUCAAGCUGAACUGGACAAAGUAGUUUACUUACUGAAGGUAGCUGAUCCUAUGGGAGAAGCAGCUCGCAAGAGGGAUUUAAAGCCAAGAGAAGCAAACCCUCAAGCAUCUAAUGAUAAUCCUAGACCAGAAUCCAAAAAACAGGACAAAAUUGCCCAAGACAAAACCUCAACGGAGGAGAACUCGAAGGAUUCUUUUUCUACCAAAAUAGAAGUGGAUAAACCUGCUGAGGUAGAAACAGAUAUCCCCCAAAACCAAGAAAAUGCCAGCAAACCUGCAUUCACCAUACCGAAACCUCAGUGGCUGGGCGACAAGAGAAUCAUAGAACCUGAAGAAAAUUGUAUAAAAGAAGGAAACACGAAUGCUGAGGAGCCUGAUGAUUUUGUGGACUACAAAGAUCGGAAAACUAUUCUUUCUAAUUCAGCCAAUGAAAAGGAUAUUGAAGGGGCUGCUCCUGGGCUUAUCUUACGGAAGAGAAAGUCUGCUGAUCAGUCAGCUGGCGUUGAGGCAGAAUCGUCUUCGGUUGAAUCCGAAGCAUCAGCAGCUGAUGCUGUGGCCCUUCUGCUGAAGCACACACGUGGUUUACAACCUGCAGAAGACAUUGAGAAUGAGAAUGAACCACAGACUAGCAAGAGAAAAGGGAAAAAGUCGAAACAAAAACGUGUACUGGGUCCUGCAAGACCAGAUUUUCUUGAAGCUGGUCCAGAUCAUGAAACAUGGGUGCCACCUCAAGGUCAAACUGGUGAUGGGCGCACUUCAUUGAAUGAUCGUUUGGGUUAUUGA